Molecule: ribosomal RNA, 492 nt
Filed under: uncultured bacterium
Lineage: Bacteria
Description: partial 16S ribosomal RNA
Rfam family: Bacterial small subunit ribosomal RNA
Source: RNAcentral
AGUGAACGCUGGCGGUAGGCCUAACACAUGCAAGUCGAACGGCAGCACAGUAAGAGCUUGCUCUUACGGGUGGCGAGUGGCGGACGGGUGAGGAAUACAUCGGAAUCUACUUUUUCGUGGGGGAUAACGUGGGGAAACUUACGCUAAUACCGCAUACGACCUACGGGUGAAAGCAGGGGAUCUUCGGACCUUGCGCGAUUGAAUGAGCCGAUGUCGGAUUAGCUAGUUGGCGGGGUAAAGGCCCACCAAGGCGACGAUCCGUAGCUGGUCUGAGAGGAUGAUCAGCCACACUGGAACUGAGACACGGUCCAGACUCCUACGGGAGGCAGCACUGGGGAAUAUUGGACAAUGGGCGCAAGCCUGAUCCAGCCAUACCGCGUGGGUGAAGAAGGCCUUCGGGUUGUAAAGCCCUUUUGUUGGGAAAGAAAAGCAGCAGGUUAAUACCCCGCUGUUCUGACGGUACCCAAAGAAUAAGCACCGGCUAACUUCGUG